UCGAUGAAGAACGCAGCGAAAUGCGAUAAGUAAUGUGAAUUGCAGAAUUCAGUGAAUCAUCGAAUCUUUGAACGCACCUUGCGCUCCUUGGUAUUCCGAGGAGCAUGCCUGUUUGAGUGUCAUUAAUAUAUAUAUCAACCUUCUCUUGUUUGAGUGGUUUGGAUGUGGGGGUUUGCUGGCUUCUUAAAAGGGUUCAGCUCCUCUGAAAUGCAUUAGCAGAACAACCUGUUCAUUGGCGUGAUAACUAUCUAUGCUAUUGAAUAUCAGGGGGCAGUUCAGCUUUCUAACAGUCCUUGGACAAUUUAUCAUUUAUGUGACCUCAAAUCAGGUAGGACUACCCGCUGAACUUAA
This 351-nucleotide ribosomal RNA is filed under the name uncultured Cortinarius. RNAcentral's name for it is "eukaryotic LSU rRNA". The stretch from base 1 to 122 matches the Rfam family "5.8S ribosomal RNA", at positions 33 to 154 of the family's 154-position model. Lineage: Eukaryota; Fungi; Basidiomycota; Agaricomycetes; Agaricales; Cortinariaceae. The record is from RNAcentral.